CCUACGGGCGGCAGCAGUCGAGAAUCAUUCACAAUGGGGGAAACCCUGAUGGUGCGACGCCGCGUGGGGGAAUGAAGGUCUUCGGAUUGUAAACCCCUGUCAUGUGGGAGCAAAUUAAAAAGAUAGUACCACAAGAGGAAGAGACGGCUAACUCUGUGCCAGCAGCCGCGGUAAUACAGAGGUCUCAAGCGUUGUUCGGAAUCACUGGGCGUAAAGCGUGCGUAGGCUGUUUCGUAAGUCGUGUGUGAAAGGCGCGGGCUCAACCCGCGGACGGCACAUGAUACUGCGAGACUAGAGUAAUGGAGGGGGAACCGGAAUUCUCGGUGUAGCAGUGAAAUGCGUAGAUAUCGAGAGGAACACUCGUGGCGAAGGCGGGUUCCUGGACAUUAACUGACGCUGAGGCACGAAGGCCAGGGGAGCGAAAAGGAUUAGAUACCCCAGUAGUC
Molecule: ribosomal RNA, 446 nt
Filed under: uncultured bacterium
Lineage: Bacteria
Description: partial 16S ribosomal RNA
Rfam family: Bacterial small subunit ribosomal RNA
Source: RNAcentral